UACGAAGGGUGCAAGCGUUACUCGGAAUUACUGGGCGUAAAGCGCGUGUAGGCGGCUCGAUAAGUCUGCUGUGAAAGUCCAGGGCUCAACCCUGGAAUUGCCUUUGAGACUGAGUGGCUUGAGUACGAGAGAGGUGAGUGGAAUUCCCAGUGUAGAGGUGAAAUUCGUAGAUAUUGGGAAGAACACCGGUGGCGAAGGCGGCUCACUGGCUCGUAACUGACGCUCAUGGCACGGACAGC
Molecule: ribosomal RNA, 239 nt
Filed under: uncultured bacterium
Lineage: Bacteria
Description: partial 16S ribosomal RNA
Rfam family: Bacterial small subunit ribosomal RNA
Source: RNAcentral